This 429-nucleotide ribosomal RNA is filed under the name Acidobacteriota bacterium. RNAcentral's name for it is "Acidobacteria bacterium partial 16S ribosomal RNA". It matches the Rfam family "Bacterial small subunit ribosomal RNA", at positions 355 to 776 of the family's 1533-position model. Lineage: Bacteria; Pseudomonadati; Acidobacteriota. The record is from RNAcentral.
UGGGGAAUUUUGGACAAUGGGGGAAACCCUGAUCCAGCCAUCCCGCGUGUGCGAUGAAGGCCUUCGGGUUGUAAAGCACUUUUGGCAGGAAAGAAACGUCAUGGGUUAAUACCCCGUGAAACUGACGGUACCUACAGAAUAAGCACCGGCUAACUACGUGCCAGCAGCCGCGGUAAUACGUAGGGUGCAAGCGUUAAUCGGAAUUACUGGGCGUAAAGCGUGCGCAGGCGGUUCGGAAAGAAAGAUGUGAAAUCCCAGAGCUCAACUUUGGAACUGCAUUUUUAACUACCGGGAUAGAGUGUGUUAGAGGGAGGUGGAAUUCCGCGUGUAGCAGUGAAAUGCGUAGAUAUGCGGAGGAACACCGAUGGCGAAGGCAGCCUCCUGGGAUAACACUGACGCUCAUGCACGAAAGCGUGGGGAGCAAACAGG